AGUGAGAUGAAUUUCUUGAGAAAGGGUGAUCGGACAUUGGAACGAGCUGCCCAGGGAGGCGGUGGUGGAGUCACCGUCCCUGGAGGUGUUUUAGGGAAGGCUGGACGUGGCACUCGGUGUCUGACCGACACCGCGGUGUUCUGUCCUGGCUUGGACCCGAUGACCCCAGAGGUCUUUCCCAACCCGCUUGAUUCGGUGAUUCUGUUAAGUAUUUCUGAUUUAUUGAACUAUUUCUGAUUUAUGGAGUGUACCGUGAGCUAGAGCAUCUCCACCCAUGGCUUUCCAUCCCAGGUUCAUGGCCACAUUCAGGGCUGGGGAGCUGCCGUGCUGGUGCAGCAGCCCUGGGAAGCACACAGGUGCCAGAGGCCAAGUGUUGCUCCUGAGCUGGGCUGUGAUUUCCCUCUUUGUCAGAUAUUUCCCCUAUUUUUGCCUGAAGAUGCUUCCCAGUAGUGCUUGGGCUUCCCUGUGCACUGUGGUGACACCCAGUUGUGGUAGAAACCCCUGUGACCCUGCCUGCCAUAAAUACCCCCCAGCACCCUGCAGAAUCAAACUGCAGACCAGUGCCCUGUUAGCAGGAGGAGAGGGUGUGGGAAUUGGCAGGGUGCUGCUGAAUUCCAGUUUCAAGAGGUGGAUCCCUUUCCUGGGAUGGGCAGAGUGGAUUUCAUCCCUCCUGGCUGAAGCUCCCUAAAACCAAAAAUGAAAAGACCCUGCGAAUUUUACAUCCCAAUCCACUGAACCUGGGAGCAGCCCUUUUCAUUUUGUACCGUACAGGGCUCACUGCAUGCUGCCUUCUUGACAUCAGGGAAGAUGCUCCUGGAUCCACCAGGAAAAAAGUCCUGGCUUCACUCCAGUACUUCAGCAAAAUCCUGUUCCUUUUCUCUAGGCAUUGAUGGGAGCUUGCUGCUAUCUUAAAUGCAAGAUCAGCCCCAGUCCUGUCCUUCCUCUGUUCAUUAAAAUACAUUGAUUUAAACCUGUUGCUCUCUUUCUACAGCUCAGCUCUGCUGUGAUCCCACAUCCAACACCUGCAAGCCAAACAUAGCCUAGAUCAUCUCUGGAUAGGACUGGGGCAACUUUUGUACAGCUGUCAUUUUAAAGGAUAAUUACAAGCAUGACUUACAGGAUAAUAAGCAGAGAUAAAACUAAUUCCAGUAACCCAUCUCACUGUGGUGGAACCAGGGGAAAAACUCCUUUUCUGCGGUUUAUGGGAGGAAGGGAACAGUUGAGACUGAGCGCUGGUGCUGUCGUUGUCACUGAGGAGGUAACCAGAACGAGUCUGUCCAAAACCAGCAAAGUUUGGUAAAGCUUUUGAGCUAGAUUAAACUCAGGGAGAGGUUUAUCUGCUUGUGCAGCCUCCUGAAUCACCAGCUGGGGAUGCGCAGGGAGCGGCAAUUUUGGGUUGAGUAGACAGAGGAACGUCAAAGAGAGGUCUAACUGCCCCAAAUGACAAAGAACCUUUUGCUCCCCCAGUGCCUGAUGUCACCAUCUCAGCCAGGGCAUUCAGCAUCUUCCAGGAACCCAGGGCUGCAUCACAAAGGAACAACGGGAUAGAGGCACCAAACCCCUGCCUGGUUUUAUGCCUCAUAAACAAACUGCCUCGUAAAUAUGCCUUGUAAAUAAAAUAAAUAAAUACA
This is a long non-coding RNA of Cyanistes caeruleus (blue tit), 1631 nucleotides long. RefSeq lists it as uncharacterized. NCBI's taxonomy places the organism in Eukaryota, Metazoa, Chordata, Aves, Passeriformes, Paridae. The record is from RefSeq and is a predicted model, not a curated record.